UCGAGGAUCUUUGGCAAUGGGCGCAAGCCUGACCAAGCGACGCCGCGUGUGCGAUGAAGGCCUUCGGGUUGUAAAGCACUGUCGAGGGGGAGGAAGCCGCAAGGUUGACCUAUCCCUGGAGGAAGCACGGGCUAAGUUCGUGCCAGCAGCCGCGGUAAGACGAACCGUGCGAACGUUGUUCGGAUUCACUGGGCUUAAAGGGCGCGUAGGCGGACUCGCAAGUCUGUGGUGAAAGCCCCCAGCUCAACUGGGGAAGUGCCGUGGAUACUGUGAGUCUGGAGGAGGGUAGGGGCAUCUGGAACGCUGGGUGGAGCGGUGAAAUGCGUUGAUAUCCAGCGGAACUCCGGUGGCGAAGGCGAGGUGCUGGACCCUUUCUGACGCUGAUGCGCGAAAGCCAGGGGAGCAAACGGGAUUAGAUACCCCCGUAGUCC
RNAcentral lists this ribosomal RNA (431 nucleotides) under uncultured bacterium. Its description in RNAcentral is "bacterial SSU rRNA". It matches the Rfam family "Bacterial small subunit ribosomal RNA", at positions 355 to 796 of the family's 1533-position model. The record is from RNAcentral.